RNAcentral lists this ribosomal RNA (449 nucleotides) under uncultured bacterium. RNAcentral describes it as "partial 16S ribosomal RNA". It matches the Rfam family "Bacterial small subunit ribosomal RNA", at positions 29 to 523 of the family's 1533-position model. The record is from RNAcentral.
AGCGAACGCUGGCGGCAGGCCUAACACAUGCAAGUCGAACGAAGUCUUCGGACUUAGUGGCGGACGGGUGAGUAACACGUGGGAACGUGCCUUUAGGUUCGGAAUAACUCAGGGAAACUUGUGCUAAUACCGAAUGUGCCCUUCGGGGGAAAGAUUUAUCGCCUUUAGAGCGGCCCGCGUCUGAUUAGCUAGUUGGUGAGGUAAAGGCUCACCAAGGCGACGAUCAGUAGCUGGUCUGAGAGGAUGAUCAGCCACAUUGGGACUGAGACACGGCCCAAACUCCUACGGGAGGCAGCAGUGGGGAAUCUUGCGCAAUGGGCGAAAGCCUGACGCAGCCAUGCCGCGUGAAUGAUGAAGGUCUUAGGAUUGUAAAGUUCUUUCACCGGGGACGAUAAUGACGGUACCCGGAGAAGAAGCCCCGGCUAACUUCGUGCCAGCAGCCGCAGUAA